This 451-nucleotide ribosomal RNA is filed under the name uncultured bacterium. Its description in RNAcentral is "bacterial SSU rRNA". It matches the Rfam family "Bacterial small subunit ribosomal RNA", at positions 30 to 490 of the family's 1533-position model. The record is from RNAcentral.
AUUGAACGCUGGCGGCAUGCCUUACACAUGCAAGUCGAACGGUAACGGGCCUUCGGGUGCCGACGAGUGGCGAACGGGUGAGUAAUGCAUCGGAACGUACCUUUCAGUGGGGGAUAACGUAGCGAAAGUUACGCUAAUACCGCAUAUUCUGUGAGCAGGAAAGCAGGGGAUCGCAAGACCUUGCGCUGAUUGAGCGGCCGAUGUCAGAUUAGCUAGUUGGUGAGGUAAAGGCUCACCAAGGCGACGAUCUGUAGCGGGUCUGAGAGGAUGAUCCGCCACACUGGAACUGAGACACGGUCCAGACUCCUACGGGAGGCAGCAGUGGGGAAUAUUGCGCAAUGGGGGAAACCCUGACGCAGCCACGCCGCGUGAGUGAUGAAGGCCUUCGGGUUGUAAAGACUCUGUCGGGAGGGACGAAGGGGGAAACCCUCGACGGUACCUCGCAAGAAAG